AUAACUUUCGUCAGUAACUUGUAUUGGAUCUAUUCCAGGUCCUAGAAAUGGGUCAGUAACAUGUUUAUCAUUCAUCUGGUUGUGUUGUUUCUUUCAAGAAUCAGCUAAGCAAUACGAGGUGGAAGUUGCCAUUAGCUCUGAAAUGGUUUUUGUUUUAAGUUCUGGAAGUUAUCAUUAGCUCUGAAAUGGUUUUUGUUUUAAGUUUAAGUUGUUAGAGAUGACACCACUUGUAUUUGUUUAAUCAUAUCUUCAACAUACCUCCUCACAUGCAAUUUUAGAAUUUUAGAAUUGGAUUUGCACUGCCUGCAUUAAUCGAUUAUAAACUGAUAGAGAUGUACUUUCUGUCCUCUCUUAAUGAAAUCUAUCAAUUAGUUUUGCUUUCAUAGUUAAUGACUGAGCUGGUUACCAGUAGAUUAGUCAUAUAUGACGUUACUUUCUAUAUAUUAUUUUUUAUGAAUACAAAUGUAUUUUUCUAAGGUGAGCAGCUCCCCAGUUUCAAGAGUUAGCUGCUUCACUCAGGUUUGCUCGAUGUCUCUUUCCCGGUACGUCUUCUAGGUUUACUGAUAGAAGUGCUAAUGGUUUGAUCUGGAAUUUCGUUUUUGUGUUUGAUCUUGCCUCUUAGUUUGAUUUAUUUCACUUGUGUGCAAUUUGGCGCGUUGGGAUAUACAUAUAUUUCUAUUUGAGGUUUGUUUUACCUAUGCAUGACAUAGUUCUGUAUGUGUGAACUGAGUUUGGGAAUUUUUUGUUCCUUAUGCACUGCAGGAAUUUGCGGUAGUGAGGUUUUCUGUGUGAAGAUCAGCUCUCCUCCAUGGGCUUGACACAAAUUAGAUUUGAAUUUGCUUGAAAUGGUUGCUGGACCUGACUCUUAAAACACGGGAACUGCUAACUGUUGGUUCUGGAAUUCAAAGAGCCUAAGCAGAUAAACCAACAGGACAUCAUUUACAUUAAUAUUAUUUGAUAGAGGAUG
RNAcentral lists this long non-coding RNA (967 nucleotides) under Solanum tuberosum (potato). RNAcentral's name for it is "long non-coding RNA (STUB_LNC000512)". The record is from RNAcentral. Lineage: Eukaryota; Viridiplantae; Streptophyta; Magnoliopsida; Solanales; Solanaceae.